UGGGGAAUCUUGCGCAAUGGCCGAAAGGCUGACGCAGCGACGCCGCGUGUGGGAGGAAGCCCUUCGGGGUGUAAACCACUGUUGCCCGGGACGAAUAGCCCCUUCAUGGGGCCUGACGGUACCGGGUGAGGAAGCACCGGCUAACUCCGUGCCAGCAGCCGCGGUAAUACGGAGGGUGCGAGCGUUGUCCGGAAUCACUGGGCGUAAAGGGCGCGUAGGUGGCUUGGCAAGCGUGUGGUGAAAGCCCGGGGCUCAACCCCGGGUCUGCCGUGCGAACUGCUAUGGCUCGAGCACUGUAGAGGCAGGUAGAAUUCCGGGUGUAGCGGUGGAAUGCGUAGAGAUCCGGAAGAAUACCGGUGGCGAAGGCGGCCUGCUGGGCAGUGGCUGACACUGAGGCGCGACAGCGUGGGGAGCAAACAG
This 420-nucleotide ribosomal RNA is filed under the name uncultured bacterium. RNAcentral's name for it is "bacterial SSU rRNA". It matches the Rfam family "Bacterial small subunit ribosomal RNA", at positions 355 to 775 of the family's 1533-position model. The record is from RNAcentral.